Molecule: ribosomal RNA, 253 nt
Filed under: uncultured bacterium
Lineage: Bacteria
Description: partial 16S ribosomal RNA
Rfam family: Bacterial small subunit ribosomal RNA
Source: RNAcentral
UACGUAGGGAGCAAGCGUUGUUCGGAUUUACUGGGCGUAAAGGGCGCGUAGGCGGCGCGGUAAGUCACUUGUGAAAUCUCUGAGCUUAACUCAGAACGGUCAAGUGAUACUGUCGCGCUAGAGUGCGGAAGGGGCAAUCGGAAUUCUUGGUGUAGCGGUGAAAUGCGUAGAUAUCAAGAGGAAUACCUGAGGUGAAGACGGGUUGCUAGGCCGACACUGACGCUGAAGCGCGAAAGCCAGGGGAGCAAACGGG